Molecule: small nucleolar RNA, 107 nt
Organism: Dioscorea cayenensis subsp. rotundata (Guinea yam)
Lineage: Eukaryota; Viridiplantae; Streptophyta; Magnoliopsida; Dioscoreales; Dioscoreaceae
Source: RefSeq, a predicted model, not a curated record
AAACAAUGUUGAGGACAUUUCUGCAAGAGCUCUUUCAACCUAUCACAUAUCUCAAAAAGAGACUCCAAUUCCAUUUUCACAAAGGAGGAUAUUUCAUUCCUGAGCUU